GGAUACAGCUCAGUUGGUAGAGUGAGUGCCUUGUAUGCACAAGGCCUUGGUUUCAAUCCCUAGCACCA
Molecule: transfer RNA, 68 nt
Filed under: Marmota monax (woodchuck)
Lineage: Eukaryota; Metazoa; Chordata; Mammalia; Rodentia; Sciuridae
Description: tRNA.Thr
Source: RNAcentral